This 429-nucleotide ribosomal RNA is filed under the name Actinomycetes bacterium. Its description in RNAcentral is "Actinobacteria bacterium partial 16S ribosomal RNA". It matches the Rfam family "Bacterial small subunit ribosomal RNA", at positions 355 to 776 of the family's 1533-position model. Lineage: Bacteria; Bacillati; Actinomycetota; Actinomycetes. The record is from RNAcentral.
UAGGGAAUCUUCCGCAAUGGGCGAAAGCCUGACGGAGCAACGCCGCGUGAGUGAUGAAGGACUUCGGAUCGUAAAACUCUGUUAUUAGGGAAGAACAAAUGUGUAAGUAACUAUGCACGUCUUGACGGUACCUAAUCAGAAAGCCACGGCUAACUACGUGCCAGCAGCCGCGGUAAUACGUAGGUGGCAAGCGUUAUCCGGAAUUAUUGGGCGUAAAGCGCGCGUAGGCGGUUUUUUAAGUCUGAUGUGAAAGCCCACGGCUCAACCGUGGAGGGUCAUUGGAAACUGGAAAACUUGAGUGCAGAAGAGGAAAGUGGAAUUCCAUGUGUAGCGGUGAAAUGCGCAGAGAUAUGGAGGAACACCAGUGGCGAAGGCGACUUUCUGGUCUGUAACUGACGCUGAUGUGCGAAAGCGUGGGGAUCAAACAGG